GUGAGUAACGCGUAAAUAACCUGCCAUACACACAAGGAUAGCCAUCGGAAACGGUGAUUAAUACUUGAUGAGGCUACAGAUUCGCAUGAAUCAGUAGUUAAAGAAUUUUGGUGUAUGAUGGAUCUGCGUUUGAUUAGCUAGUUGGUAAGGUAAAAGCUUACCAAGGCGAUGAUCAAUAGCCGGCCUGAGAGGGUGAACGGCCACACUGGAACUGAGACACGGUCCAGACUCCUACGGGAGGCAGCAGUGGGGAAUAUUGCACAAUGGAGGAAACUCUGAUGCAGCAACGCCGCGUGAACGAAGAAGGCUUUCGAGUCGUAAAGUUCUGUUAUAGGGGAAGAAGCAGUGACGGUACCCUAUGAGAAAGCCACGGCUAAUUACGUGCCAGCAGCCGCGGUAAUACGUAAGUGGCAAGCGUUAUCCGGAAUUACUGGGCAUAAAGAGUUCGUAGGCGGUCAAUCAAGCCAAUAGUGAAAUCCAUCGGCCUAACCGAUGUAAGCUAAUGGAACUGAGUGACUUGAGUACAGGAGAGGAAAGUGGAAUUCCUAGUGUAGUAGUGAAAUGCGUAGAUAUUAGGAAGAACAUCAGUAGCGAAGGCGACUUUCUGGACUGUAACUGACGCUGAGGAACGAAAGCGUGGGGAGCGAACAGGAUUAGAUACCCUGGUAGUCCACGCCGUAAACGAUGGAUACUUGGUGUUGGCCGUAAAGGUCGGUGCCGGAGCAAAUGUAUUAAGUAUCCCGCCUGGGGAGUACGGUCGCAAGGCUGAAACUCAAAAGAAUUGACGGGGACCCGCACAAGCAGCGGAGCAUGUGGUUUAAUUCGAAGCAACGCGAAGAACCUUACCAAAUCUUGACAUAUCAAAGCUAUCUGAGUAAAAUUAGAGUUCCAUUUGGACUUUGAAUACAGGUGGUGCAUGGUUGUCGUCAGCUCGUGUCGUGAGAUGUUGGGUUAAGUCCCGUAACGAGCGCAACCCUUAUUCUUAGUUGCUAACAAGUAAUGUUGAGGACUCUAGAGAGACUGCCGAUGAAAAAAUCGGAGGAAGGUGGGGAUGACGUCAAAUCAUCAUGCCCCUUAUGAUUUGGGCUACACACGUGCUACAAUGGCCGGUACAACGGGUAAGCGAAGGGGUGACCUGGAGCCAAU
RNAcentral lists this ribosomal RNA (1146 nucleotides) under uncultured organism. RNAcentral's name for it is "bacterial SSU rRNA". It matches the Rfam family "Bacterial small subunit ribosomal RNA", at positions 106 to 1272 of the family's 1533-position model. The record is from RNAcentral.